UACGGAAGGCAGCAGUGGGGAAUAUUGCACAAUGGGCGCAAGCCUGAUGCAGCCAUGCCGCGUGUAUGAAGAAGGCCUUCGGGUUGUAAAGUACUUUCAGUCGUGAGGAAGGUGUUAAGGUUAAUAACCUUAGCAAUUGACGUUAGCGACAGAAGAAGCACCGGCUAACUCCGUGCCAGCAGCCGCGGUAAUACGGAGGGUGCGAGCGUUAAUCGGAAUUACUGGGCGUAAAGGGCACGCAGGCGGUUAAUUAAGUUGGAUGUGAAAUCCCCGGGCUUAACCUGGGAAUGGCAUUCAAGACUGGUUAGCUAGAGUCUUGUAGAGGGGGUAGAAUUCCAUGUGUAGCGGUGAAAUGCGUAGAGAUGUGGAGGAAUACCGGUGGCGAAGGCGGCCCCUGGGCAAAGGCUGACGCUCAUGUGCGAAAGCGUGGGGAGCAAACG
RNAcentral lists this ribosomal RNA (440 nucleotides) under uncultured bacterium. RNAcentral's name for it is "bacterial SSU rRNA". It matches the Rfam family "Bacterial small subunit ribosomal RNA", at positions 340 to 774 of the family's 1533-position model. The record is from RNAcentral.